AGACAUUAUUGCUGGGCUUAGCACCUAAAAAUGUUUUAUAUACUGGAGCAUCUGAAAGUUCCUAUUCAGUAGCAGAACUUCAGGGUAGUUGAGGUUUAUAAUCUAGUCAGUUAUAAUAACAUUGCUAGCAUAUUUCAGUUUUUUGGAUUUGUCUAUUAUUUGACAAUAUAAUUUUUAUUGUCUUUGUCUAUGUCAUAUCUUUAAAUUGGCUAUUGUUUUGUGCUUAUGGAAAAAUACUUUAAUUCUCAAAAACAGUGAUUUCUUUUUUGUUUUUGCCUCUUUAUAAGGAAUAGCAAAUAGAAGUGCUAGUAUUUACUAGAUGCAGUGAUUGCUACAGUUGGUUUUAAGUAAAACAGAUUGUUUUUGAUUAUUUUGAAAUCAGCCCCUAAGGCUCAUACAUGGAUGGGCCUCAGAUUUUGCUAUAAGCUUCCUGUCAUCUGUCAUAUGAGAGGGAUGCUGUGUGAAUCAGUUAUGUAUAUUCCUGUUCUUUAACAUUGCUAAAUUUUUACCAUUAAAAUUUAUGUUGGUUUCUGUUUUCUU
This 540-nucleotide long non-coding RNA is filed under the name Homo sapiens (human). RNAcentral describes it as "novel transcript, intronic to KIAA1370". Lineage: Eukaryota; Metazoa; Chordata; Mammalia; Primates; Hominidae. The record is from RNAcentral.